RNAcentral lists this ribosomal RNA (253 nucleotides) under uncultured bacterium. RNAcentral describes it as "partial 16S ribosomal RNA". It matches the Rfam family "Bacterial small subunit ribosomal RNA", at positions 524 to 776 of the family's 1533-position model. The record is from RNAcentral.
UACGGGGGGGGCAAGCGUUGUUCGGAAUUACUGGGCGUAAAGGGCGCGUAGGCGGCCUGCUAAGUCACACGUGAAAUCCCUCGGCUCAACCGGGGAACUGCGUGUGAUACUGGCGGGCUUGAAUUCGGGAGAGGGAUGUGGAAUUCCAGGUGUAGCGGUGAAAUGCGUAGAUAUCUGGAGGAACAUCGGUGGCGAAGGCGACAUCCUGGACCGGUAUUGACGCUGAGGCGCGAAAGCCAGGGGAGCAAACGGG